This is a non-coding RNA of Taeniopygia guttata (zebra finch), 1000 nucleotides long. The record is from RefSeq and is a predicted model, not a curated record. NCBI's taxonomy places the organism in Eukaryota, Metazoa, Chordata, Aves, Passeriformes, Estrildidae.
GUGACUUUAAUCCAGUAAAAUCAGGGCUGUGAGAGCAGGAAGUGGAUGUGGAGAUUCACUGGUUCCAGACCUGGCCCAUCACUUGAUUACCUUGUCCUGGUGUAGAUGCUGGAUGAGGAAUUUCUGUGAGUAAGGCAGAACAUAUCCAUAGGAUGGGAAAAAGGGAUGGAGAAACAAUCUUCCUGCUGGCAGGUGUCACUGAGAGCUUCCUGUGGUACAUGGAACUGGCCCUUUGGAUGUGCAGCUCUCUUUACCCCCCAGUAAAUCCAGUCUUGAUCACCCAGGCAACAAACAGGGAACUUUGGAAUAUUCACAGAGAUGGUGCUACAGCAAUUCCAGAAACCACAGUGCGAUUAGCAGUUAGCAGAGGGAACUUUUCCACAGAAGCCUCCAAGAGAUUUCCAGCUGUAACAUUUUACCUUUGAAAAUAUAACCAAAAUUUUCAUUUUUAGGUCUCUGAGCAUUAUCUUCUAGUCUCAGCAGAAAAGCAGUGGUGUAAUUAACAGCUUCAUUAAUGCCAGAGUAAUUAUGAGCUACAGGAAUGGCUGUUGCAUCAGGAAUUCUUCUUGUAGAACUGCAGCAACUUUUUGAUUCUUCAGAACUCAGGAGAAACAUAAAGGGUUGUCCUUUCGAGGCAGACCAGAUCAAGGAGUGGUGCGUGCAGUACCUCAUCCCAGGAUAAAUCCAGGGAGGCUCUAUGACUCAGGAAUGACUCACUGCUCCUCCUCUGUUCCUUCCAGACUCUUGGGGGUGUGCUAAUUUAUUGUCAGUCUGUAUCUGCAGUCAAUUAUUCCCCCCAGCUCAGCUCUCCUGUCCAGAAGGAAUUCAGGCACAUUCUGCUCAUUGCUCACCUCUCCAGAGAGGCAAACAGCGUGCCUUGGUUCCCCUGUGCAGCACCACAAACAGCUUCACAAGCACGGAGCAGGGACCACUCCUGUGCCCAGGGCUGGGGAGAGCUGCGGCUGCUGCCAAGGAAAAGUCUUUGCAACUGCUGCCAACU